UUGAAACAUUGUAAAGGAAAGUUGAGCUGGUCCUUCUAGGGCAUGUGCUCGCUUUUCUUUCAAUCUUCAUCCACCUGUGCACCUUUUGUAGAGAGUCUCUAGAAAGCAAGGUCAUUUUGGCCUUGCAAGUAUUGGGGCGCUCUAUGUAUUAUAAACUCUGAAUGUAUGUCUUUGAAUGUCUUUUACAAAGGGACUUAACUGGCCCUUUUAAAAACUAUA
This 219-nucleotide unclassified non-coding RNA is filed under the name uncultured Marasmiaceae. RNAcentral's name for it is "sequence contains ITS1". Lineage: Eukaryota; Fungi; Basidiomycota; Agaricomycetes; Agaricales. The record is from RNAcentral.